This 455-nucleotide ribosomal RNA is filed under the name uncultured bacterium. RNAcentral's name for it is "bacterial SSU rRNA". It matches the Rfam family "Bacterial small subunit ribosomal RNA", at positions 340 to 789 of the family's 1533-position model. The record is from RNAcentral.
UACGGAAGGCAGCAGUGGGGAAUAUUGCACAAUGGGCGCAAGCCUGAUGCAGCCAUGCCGCGUGUAUGAAAAAGGCCUUCGGGUUGUAAAGUACUUUCAGUCGUGAGGAAGGUGUUAAGGUUAAUAACCUUAGCAAUUGACGUUAGCGACAGAAGAAGCACCGGCUAACUCCGUGCCAGCAGCCGCGGUAAUACGGAGGGUGCGAGCGUUAAUCGGAAUUACUGGGCGUAAAGGGCACGCAGGCGGUUAAUUAAGUUGGAUGUGAAAUCCCCGGGCUUAACCUGGGAAUGGCAUUCAAGACUGGUUAGCUAGAGUCUUGUAGAGGGGGUAGAAUUCCAUGUGUAGCGGUGAAAUGCGUAGAGAUGUGGAGGAAUACCGGUGGCGAAGGCGGCCCCUGGACAAAGACUGACGCUCAUGUGCGAAAGCGUGGGGAGCAAACAGGGAUAGAUACCCGU